GACGAACGCUGGCGGCGUGCCUAAUACAUGCAAGUUGAGCGCUGAAGGUUGGUACUUGUACCAACUGGAUGAGCAGCGAACGGGUGAGUAACGCGUGGGGAAUCUGCCUUUGAGCGGGGAACAACAUUUGGAAACGAAUGCUAAUACCGCAUAAAAACUUUAAACACAAGUUUUAAGUUUGAAAGAUGCAAUUGCAUCACUCAAAGAUGAUCCCGCGUUGUAUUAGCUAGUUGGUGAGGUAAAGGCUCACCAAGGCGAUGAUACAUAGCCGACCUGAGAGGGUGAUCGGCCACAUUGGGACUGAGACACGGCCCAAACUCCUACGGGAGGCAGCAGUAGGGAAUCUUCGGCAAUGGACGAAAGUCUGACCGAGCAACGCCGCGUGAGUGAAGAAGGUUUUCGGAUCGUAAAACUCUGUUGGUGGAGAAGAACGUUGGUGAGAGUGGAAAGCUCAUCAAGUGACGGUAACUACCCAGAAAGGGACGGCUAACUACGUG
RNAcentral lists this ribosomal RNA (497 nucleotides) under uncultured bacterium. Its description in RNAcentral is "partial 16S ribosomal RNA". It matches the Rfam family "Bacterial small subunit ribosomal RNA", at positions 28 to 507 of the family's 1533-position model. The record is from RNAcentral.